Vicia faba (fava bean) is the source of this 294-nucleotide non-coding RNA. The record is from the annotation of a GenBank genome assembly. NCBI's taxonomy places the organism in Eukaryota, Viridiplantae, Streptophyta, Magnoliopsida, Fabales, Fabaceae.
AUGGCUGCAGCUGCUCAAUUUCUGGUCCAUAACUCCUCAUCCAACACAUCUAUUAAUCGAGAAGAAAUUAUAGCAAUCAAGGACAUAAACCCCACAGAGGCUAUGAGAAGAUUGGUAAAUAGUCGAGGGUCCAAAUCAGCUGGGAGAUCUUCAAACUCUUCAGUCGUGUAUAGAGGUGAGAUUAGUGUUAACCUCAUCACAUAUUUAGUUGGGCAGUUGAAAACAGAGAGUUUUAAGGUGGACUUCUUCAAAGUUGUGGAAGAUGAUCCUUCUAUCGAGUCUGGUGUCAAAUAG